RNAcentral lists this ribosomal RNA (464 nucleotides) under uncultured Pelotomaculum sp. RNAcentral's name for it is "bacterial SSU rRNA". It matches the Rfam family "Bacterial small subunit ribosomal RNA", at positions 920 to 1382 of the family's 1533-position model. The record is from RNAcentral. Lineage: Bacteria; Bacillati; Bacillota; Clostridia; Eubacteriales; Desulfotomaculaceae.
CCCGCACAAGCGGUGGAGCAUGUGGUUUAAUUCGACGCAACGCGAAGAACCUUACCAGGGCUUGACAUCCCCUGACCGCGUAUGAAAGUACGUUUUCACCUCGGGUGACAGGGAGACAGGUGGUGCAUGGUUGUCGUCAGCUCGUGUCGUGAGAUGUUGGGUUAAGUCCCGCAACGAGCGCAACCCCUACGUUUAGUUGCUAACGCGUGAAGGCGAGCACUCUAGACGAACUGCCGUUGACAAAACGGAGGAAGGUGGGGAUGACGUCAAAUCAUCAUGCCCCUUAUGUUCUGGGCUACACACGUGCUACAAUGGCCGGUACAGACGGACGCAAAGCCGCGAGGUGGAGCAAAUCCUAAAAAGCCGGUCUCAGUUCGGAUUGCAGGCUGCAAUUCGCCUGCAUGAAGUCGGAAUCGCUAGUAAUCGCAGGUCAGCAUACUGCGGUGAAUACGUUCCCGGGCCUU